UAUGUGUCGUCAUUGUGUAUUGUGAUAGUUGCGGUUUCAUUAUGACAUUUCAGUUGCAGGGAGCUUUUCAGAGGGUUUCAUUUUGUAGUUUCACAUACACAAUUUAACGAGUCUUUAAGAUUUAGAAACUUCGACGACCGCAUUUCGUAUGAACGAUUUUCAUAAAUUAUCUUUGGCUCGAAGUCCUGCAUUACACAUUUCUAAACAUCUGCGAUGGUAGCUAACUUUCACAAUAUUCGACGUUAUGUCAUUUCUGUGCUGUAAAACUGGAUGUCGUGUCACACUAUGAUUUUCGGCCUUGUGAUACCCCGUUUACAUCCCUGGCUACCAGUUGAAAUUCCUCAAUGGAAUAAAAGAGCUGUACGGGAGAAAUGAUUUUAAAUCAGAGUGACAACUUGCUUUGCUACCUGUCUGACAUUUUAUGUUACUGAGCAAAUGAUCAAAACAUUUUUUUCCUGCAUACUCAAUCCCUCUCUCUCCCAUUGACAGCUUUAACAAUGGGUAAUAAAGAUCUUUUCUCCGCUAGUGUUCUCAAAU
Molecule: long non-coding RNA, 537 nt
Filed under: Schistocerca americana (American grasshopper)
Lineage: Eukaryota; Metazoa; Arthropoda; Insecta; Orthoptera; Acrididae
Description: uncharacterized LOC124616691, transcript variant X1
Source: RNAcentral